AUUGAACGCUGGCGGCAUGCUUUACACAUGCAAGUCGGACGGCAGCGCGGGCUUCGGCCUGGCGGCGAGUGGCGAACAGGUGAGUAAUGCAUCGGAACGUGCCCAGUAGUGGGGGAUAGCCCGGCGAAAGCCGGAUUAAUACCGCAUACGACCUGAGGGUGAAAGCGGGGGACCGAAAGGCCUCGCGCUAUUGGAGCGGCCGAUGUCGGAUUAGCUAGUUGGUGGGGUAAAGGCUUACCAAGGCGACGAUCCGUAGCUGGUCUGAGAGGACGACCAGCCACACUGGGACUGAGACACGGCCCAGACUCCUACGGGAGGCAGCAGUGGGGAAUUUUGGACAAUGGGGGCAACCCUGAUCCAGCCAUGCCGCGUGCGGGAAGAAGGCCUUCGGGUUGUAAACCGCUUUUGUUCGGGAAGAAAUCCUCUGGGCUAAUACCCCGGGGGGAUGACGGUACCGGAAGAAUAAGCACCGGCUAACUACGUG
Molecule: ribosomal RNA, 484 nt
Filed under: uncultured bacterium
Lineage: Bacteria
Description: partial 16S ribosomal RNA
Rfam family: Bacterial small subunit ribosomal RNA
Source: RNAcentral